This 1039-nucleotide ribosomal RNA is filed under the name uncultured bacterium. RNAcentral's name for it is "partial 16S ribosomal RNA". The stretch from base 30 to 908 matches the Rfam family "Bacterial small subunit ribosomal RNA". The record is from RNAcentral.
UGAUCAACUCGGAUGACUCNCGAAUGCUCUAGAUUAAACGUUGAUCCUGGCUCAGACUGAACCGCUAGGCGUGAUAGGCCUAACACAUGCAAGUCGAACGGCAGCACAGAGGAGCUUGCUCCUUGGGUGGCGAGUGGCUGGACGGGUGAGGAAUACAUCGGAAUCUACUUUUUCGUGGGUGGAUAACGUAGAGAAACUUACGCUAAUACCGCAUACGACCUACGUGGUGAAAGCAGGGGAUCUUCGGACCUUGCGCGAUUGAAUGAGCCGAUGUCGGACUAGCUAGUUGGCGGGGUAAAGUGCCCACCAAGGCGACGAUCCAUAGCUGGUCUGAGAGGAUGAUCAGCCACACUGGAACUGAGACACGGUCCAGACUCCUACGUGGAGUGCAGCAGUGGGGAAUAUUGGACAAUGGGCGCAAGCCUGAUCCAGCCAUACCUGCGUGGGUGAAGAAGGCCUUCGGGUUGUAAAGCCCUUUUGUUAGGGAAAGAAAUCCAGCUGGCUAAUACCCGGUUGGGAUGACGGUACCCAAAGAAUAAGCACCUGGCUAACUUCGUGCCAGCAGCCUGCGGUAAUACGAAGGGUGCAAGCGUUACUCGGAAUUACUGGGCGUAAAGCGUGCGUAGUAGGUCGUUUAAGUCGUUGUGAAAGNCCUGUGGUNCAACCUNUGGGACACUGCACGUGUGNNACUGGACAACUAACGUUGGNUGGUAAAANAAAANUUNACCCCGGNAAAUUCCCCUUGNGUGUUUAAACCAGUAGAAAAUGNCGUUAAGACCACCGGGGAGGGAACCAUNCACUUUGGCAAAAAGGGAGUCUACCCUUGGACCCCACCUUUGGAAUCUGNAGGGCCCAAAAAGUUGGUGAACGCCUACGGGAUUACAUAUACCAGUUAGAUAACCCCCCUAAAGCANAGNAACAAGUAAUAGUGGCAGAUUAGUAGAGCAAACAGAUAAAUUAAUCCACCCUGGUAGAGUCGAACUANACAANGANAUCGGCGCAGAGNUGUUUUACACACGCUAUUAAUAANUAUAACUAG